AGAGUUUGAUCAUGGCUCAGAACAAACGCUGGCGGCGUGUCUUAAGCAUGCAAGUCGAGCGGCAAGGCGGGGCGACCCGCCCUAGAGCGGCGGACUGGUGAGUAACGCGUGGGUAAUCUACCUUGGGCAUGGGGAUAGCCAUUAGAAAUAGUGGGUAAUACCGAAUACGCUCGCGGGGGGAAGGGUCCUGUGAGGAAAGGGUGCUACGGCACCGGCCUGAGAUGAGCUCGCGUCCCAUUAGCUAGUUGGUGAGGUAAGGGCCCACCAAGGCGAUGAUGGGUAGCCGGCCUGAGAGGGUGUACGGCCACACUGGGACUGAGAUACGGCCCAGACUCCUACGGGAGGCAGCAGCUAAGAAUAUUCCGCAAUGGACGAAAGUCUGACGGAGCGACGCCGCGUGGAUGAAGAAGGCCGAAAGGUUGUAAAGUUCUUUUGCGAGGGAAGAAUAACCGCAGGAGGGAAUGCCUGUGGGAUGACAUGAACUUGCGAAUAAGCCCCGGCCAACUACGUGCCAGCAGCCGCGGUAACACGUAGGGGGCGAGCGUUGUUCGGAAUUACUGGGCGUAAAGGGCAUGUAGGCGGUCUGGUAAGCCUGGCGUGAAAGACCACAGCUUAACUGUGGGGUUGCGUUGGGAACUGCUGGGCUUGAGUGACGGAGAGGGAGCUGGAAUUCCUGGUGUAGGGGUGAAAUCUGUAGAUAUCAGGAAGAACACCGAUGGCGAAGGCAAGCUCCUGGCCGAUGACUGACGCUGAGGUGCGAAAGUGUGGGGAUCAAACAGGAUUAGAUACCCUGGUAGUCCACACGGUAAACGAUGUGCACUAGGUGCUGGGGCGGUAGCCUCGGUGCCGGAGCGAACGUGGUAAGUGCACCGCCUGGGGAGUAUGCUCGCAAGGGUGAAACUCAAAGGAAUUGACGG
Molecule: ribosomal RNA, 917 nt
Filed under: Spirochaetaceae bacterium enrichment culture clone B4116
Lineage: Bacteria; Pseudomonadati; Spirochaetota; Spirochaetia; Spirochaetales; Spirochaetaceae
Description: bacterial SSU rRNA
Rfam family: Bacterial small subunit ribosomal RNA
Source: RNAcentral